Molecule: ribosomal RNA, 266 nt
Filed under: uncultured bacterium
Lineage: Bacteria
Description: partial 16S ribosomal RNA
Rfam family: Bacterial small subunit ribosomal RNA
Source: RNAcentral
GACGUAGGGUCCCAAGCGUUGUCCGGAUUUACUGGGCGUAAAGAGCGCGUAGGCGGCUCGUUAAGUGUAGAGUGAAAUCUCUGGGCUCACCCCAGAAACUGCUCUGCAUACUGGCGAGCUGGAGGGAUGGAGAGGCUUGUGGAAUUCCUGGUGUAGCGGUGAAAUGCGUUGAUAUCAGGAGGAACACCCAUGGCGAAGGCAGCAAGCUGGCCAUCACCUGACGCUGAGGCGCGAAAGCGUGGGUAGCAAACAGGAUUAGAAACCCU